This 808-nucleotide ribosomal RNA is filed under the name uncultured bacterium. Its description in RNAcentral is "bacterial SSU rRNA". It matches the Rfam family "Bacterial small subunit ribosomal RNA", at positions 8 to 796 of the family's 1533-position model. The record is from RNAcentral.
AGAGUUUGAUCAUGGCUCAGAAUCAACGCUGGCGGCGUGCCUAACACAUGCAAGUCGAACGCGAAAGUGGAGCAAUCCAUGAGUAGAGUGGCAAACGGGUGAGUAACACGUGGGUGACCUGCCUUCGAGUGGGGGAUAACGUCCCGAAAGGGACGCUAAUACCGCAUAACAUGCUGUCUUUUAAGAGAGAGACAUCAAAGCCGGGGACCGCAAGCCUGGCGCUUGAAGAGGGGCCCGCGCCUGAUUAGCUAGUUGGUGGGGUAAUGGCUCACCAAGGCAACGAUCAGUAUCCGGCCUGAGAGGGCGGACGGACACACUGGGACUGAGACACGGCCCAGACUCCUACGGGAGGCAGCAGUGGGGAAUUGUUCGCAAUGGGCGCAAGCCUGACGACGCAACGCCGCGUGGAGGAUGAAGACCUUCGGGUCGUAAACUCCUUUCGAUCGAGACGAAUGGCCUCCGGGCUAACAUCCUGGAGGAGUGACGGUACCGAGAGAAGAAGCCCCGGCUAACUCCGUGCCAGCAGCCGCGGUAAUACGGGGGGGGCAAGCGUUGUUCGGAAUUACUGGGCGUAAAGGGCUCGUAGGCGGCCAACUAAGUCAUACGUGAAAUCCCUCGGCUUAACCGGGGAACUGCGUCUGAUACUGGAUGGCUUGAGUUCGGGAGAGGGAUGCGGAAUUCCAGGUGUAGCGGUGAAAUGCGUAGAUAUCUGGAGGAACACCGGUGGCGAAGGCGGCAUCCUGGACCGAUACUGACGCUGAGGAGCGAAAGCCAGGGGAGCAAACGGGAUUAGAUACCCUAGUAGUCC